UAAUACGGAGGGUGCAAGCGUUGUCCGGAUUUAUUGGGUUUAAAGGGUGCGUAGGUGGCCUGGUAAGUCCGUGGUGAAAGCCUCUUGCUCAACAAGAGAACUGCCAUGGAUACUGCCGGGCUUGAGUCCAGACGAGGUUGGCGGAAUAGAGGCUGUAGCGGUGAAAUGCAUAGAUAGCCUCUAGAACCCCGAUUGCGUAGGCAGCUGACUAGGCUGGUACUGACACUGAGGCACGAAAGCGUGGGGAGCGAACAGGA
Molecule: ribosomal RNA, 257 nt
Filed under: uncultured prokaryote
Description: partial 16S ribosomal RNA
Rfam family: Bacterial small subunit ribosomal RNA
Source: RNAcentral